This 380-nucleotide ribosomal RNA is filed under the name Escherichia coli. RNAcentral describes it as "bacterial SSU rRNA". It matches the Rfam family "Bacterial small subunit ribosomal RNA", at positions 1 to 377 of the family's 1533-position model. Lineage: Bacteria; Pseudomonadati; Pseudomonadota; Gammaproteobacteria; Enterobacterales; Enterobacteriaceae. The record is from RNAcentral.
AAAUUGAAGAGUUUGAUCAUGGCUCAGAUUGAACGCUGGCGGCAGGCCUAACACAUGCAAGUCGAACGGUAACAGGAAGCAGGUUGCUGCUUCGCUGACGAGUGGCGGACGGGUGAGUAAUGUCUGGGAAACUGCCUGAUGGAGGGGGAUAACUACUGGAAACGGUAGCUAAUACCGCAUAACGUCGCAAGACCAAAGAGGGGGACCUUCGGGCCUCUUGCCAUCGGAUGUGCCCAGAUGGGAUUAGCUUGUUGGUGGGGUAACGGCUCACCUAGGCGACGAUCCCUAGCUGGUCUGAGAGGAUGACCAGCCACACUGGAACUGAGACACGGUCCAGACUCCUACGGGAGGCAGCAGUGGGGAAUAUUGCACAAUGGGCG